Non-coding RNA from Equus caballus (horse), 2463 nucleotides. NCBI's taxonomy places the organism in Eukaryota, Metazoa, Chordata, Mammalia, Perissodactyla, Equidae. The record is from RefSeq and is a predicted model, not a curated record.
CAUGGCUCUUGAAAAUAUGUAUCUUCCAGUCUGAUAAUUGACAAAUGGAUGGAAAAUAUAUUAAAAUAAAUUAAAGUCCACUAUAUAUGUAAACAAAGAAAGAAUUUGGGGUUUGGAGCCAUGAAAGCAGCUGAAGCAAGACAAAGAUAGUUAUUCAUGAGCUAUGAGGAUUCUAGAACACCUGUGCAGGAAAAGGUCCACCAAGACACACAGCCUGAAACUGGAACUCAGACCACUAAAGGGGCUGCUUUAUGCUGAACUGACACUCAGGCCUUUUCCUGACUUGAGCCUAAUGUUCUCUCCCCUGCACUGCACUGCAAGGAGGACAGAAAAACAAGCAGCUUUGUAAUUUCCAUGACCGUGGUGAAAACGUGGGGUGUGGUGACUUUCAAGUUUCCAGCACAAGGCUAUAUUUACUAGAAGCACGUUCCACAGGGGCUGAGUUUUCGUCUCUUUUAUUCACUGCUGAAUCGUCAGGAACUGAGCCUGGCAGAAGCAGACACUCUCUCAGCAUUCAACGAUUGAAAGAAUGAAAAAUAAAGGUGUGCAGACAUCGGUAAGAUAUUUGGUGAAUUUUGGUAAGUGAUAAUCCUGGAAACACUACAUAAUCAUGACAGAAAAUUCCUGGGUGUCCCCGUAGUCAAUCACCUAUUCCCACCUCCCACCCAUGGCAACUACUGAUCUGCUUUUUGUCACUGUAGUUUUUCCUUUUCUAGAAUUUCAUAUAAAUUGAACUAUACAGUGUUAAGCAUUUGUGUCCAGGCAUUAUUCAAUUAGCAUAAUACUUUUGAUGUUUAUUCAUGUUGCUACAUGCAUUAGUAGUCCAAUCUUUUUACUGCUGAGUGUAUUCCAUGCUAUAGAUGUACCAAAAUUUGUGUAUUCACCUGUUGAUGAACAAUAGAUUGGGGCUAUUAUGAAUAAAGUCAAUAUGAGCAUUUAACUGCAAGUCUUGAGUGUACACGUGUUUUCUUUUUUGUUGGGUAAAUACUUAGCACAUUACUCAUGGGGUCUUAUGGUUAGUAUACACUUAAGUUUAUAAGAACCCACUGAACUCUUUUCAAAAUGGCUGUAACAUUUUGUAUUUCUACUAGCCAAACUUGGUAUUUUCAGGCUUAAUUUUAUACUUUGUAGGGGAUGUGUAGCAGUAUCUUAUUGUAGUUUAAAUUUGCAUUUCCCUAAUGACUAAAGAUGUUGAACAUCUUUCCAUGUGUUAUUUGCUAUUUGUCUGUCUUUGAUGAAACGUCUAUUUCAAAUCUUUUGCCCGUUUUUCAUUGAGUUCACUGUCUUAUUAUGUUGUAUGAGUUCUUUAUAUAUUCUUAAAACAAAUUCCUUAAUCAAAUAUUUGACUUGCAAAUAUAUUCCCAACUCCUAUGGCUUGCCUUUUUGUUCUCUUAAGGAUAGCUUUUGAAGAGCAAAAGUUUUAAUUUUGUUGAAGUCCAACAUCCAAUUUUUUUAAUCGUUAGAGCUAUUCGUGUCCUAGUAAGUUUGACUAACUCAAGACCAUAAAGAUUUUUCUCCCAUGUGUUCUUAUUUAUAAGUUUUAUACUUUUAGCUCUUACAUUUAGGUCUAUUAUCCAUUUUACAUUAACCUUUUGAGUGAUGUGAGGUAAGAACUGAGGGUUUUUUUUUUAACGGCUAUGUAAUUUUUCUAGCAUCAUUUGUUGAAAUGACUGUCCUUUUCUCAUUGAAUUAAGUUGGUUCAUUUGUCAAAAACCAAAUGAUGACAUAUGCGUAGAUCUAUAUCUGUACUCUCUGUUCUAUUCCUUUGGUCUAUAUGUCUGUCUUUAUAUUGAUACCACACUAUCUUGAUUAUUUGUGGUUUUAUAUUAAGUCAUAAAAUCAGGUAGUAUAUUUCAACUUUGUUUUUCCAUUUCAAAUUAUUUUGACUAGUCUAGAUAAUUUUUAUUUCCAUGUAUAGUUCAUAAUCAGAUUGUCAACUUCUGCAAACAAAAAUCUUCCUGGGAUAUUUUCAUGGGAAUUAUCCUAAAACUAUAGGUCAAUUUUAGGAGAAUUAAUAUCUUAUUGAUACUGAGUUUUCCAAUCCUCCUGAACAUGCUGUAUUUCCCCAUUUAUGAAGUUCUUAUUUAAUUUUUUUCAUAAAUGUUUGGUAGUUUUCAGGAUAUAUGUCUUGUACAUGUUUGCUUGUACAAAUUUGUCCCUAAAUAUUUUGUAUUCGUGAAUAUUGUUCUAAAAUGAUAUUUUUGCUUUCAAUUUCUAAUUGUUCAAUAUUAGUAUAUAAACCAUUGUAUAUAUUGUGAAAGGAUCAUCACAGCAAAUCUAGUUAAUAUACAUUGCCACACAUGGUUACAGAAAAUUUUUUCUUGUGAUGAGAACUUUUAAGACGUACUCUCUUAGUAACUUUCACAUAUGCAAUAUACUGUUAUUAACGAUAGUCGCCAUGCUGUAUAUUACAUCUCUAAGGCUUACUUAUUUUAUAACUGGAACUUGUACCUUUUGACUCCC